CGGUGAUAAGGAGGUGCGAGUGCCCUGGUGAUUUCAGGUCCUGAACAUCCUGGGCUUCGCAGCUUGGCCCCCGGACCGCUCUUUGACCCAGGCUCGCGGGGUGCGAACUGGUGGAAUCUGGGAAGGCGCCAAUCUGGUGGCUGUGAGGACCCAGUGAAGUUUCUGUCAAGAUACUUUGCAAACUGAACUUCAGAUUUGCCCCACCACUCCCAGAACAGACAGCUGACCUCCUGGGGCACCGCCAGAUUUUACUGCAUGGGGAACAAGUGGAGGCAUCCCAGCCACUGUGUUCCAGAUGACCACCCACCCCUGGGAACAGCUAACUGCCCAGGACGAGAA
Molecule: long non-coding RNA, 339 nt
Organism: Phyllostomus hastatus (greater spear-nosed bat)
Lineage: Eukaryota; Metazoa; Chordata; Mammalia; Chiroptera; Phyllostomidae
Exons: 3
Source: RefSeq, a predicted model, not a curated record